RNAcentral lists this ribosomal RNA (372 nucleotides) under uncultured bacterium. Its description in RNAcentral is "bacterial SSU rRNA". It matches the Rfam family "Bacterial small subunit ribosomal RNA", at positions 28 to 408 of the family's 1533-position model. The record is from RNAcentral.
GACGAACGCUUGCGACGUGCCUAAGAAAUGCAAGUCGAGCGAGGUAGCAAUACCUAGCGGCGAACGGUCGCGUAACACGUAAGCAACCUGCCCCAAAGACCGGGACAACGUUUCGAAAGGAGCGCUAAUACCGGAUGUGGUCAUCGGCUGACAUCGGCUGAUGAGUAAAUCGAGCAAUCGGCUUUGGGAGGGGCUUGCGGCCUAUCAGCUAGAUGGUGGGGUAACGCCACCAUGGCGACGACGGGUAGCUGGUCUGAGAGGAUGGUCAGCCGGAUUGGGACUGAGAUACGGCCCAGACUCCGUACGGGGGGCAGCAAUUAGGAAUCUUGCGCAAUGGGACGAAAGCCUGACGCAGCGACGUCGCGUGGGGAU